Long non-coding RNA from Dermacentor albipictus, 1367 nucleotides. RefSeq lists it as uncharacterized. The record is from RefSeq and is a predicted model, not a curated record. NCBI's taxonomy places the organism in Eukaryota, Metazoa, Arthropoda, Arachnida, Ixodida, Ixodidae.
AGGCUGACGUGGCCUUGAAGGAGCGAGGUGUGGAGUGGCGGAACACCACUAGAAGCAAGAGGGACGCUCGAAUACUUGGCGGAAAGGCGGUGAACCGGUGGCGUUGGCACCGAAGACCUGAGCAGGAGGAGGACAUCAGUGGCAUUGCACCAGUCUGACUUGAUCCUCAACGCCCCGCAGCGCUGCCCGCGGUCUCCGGCAAAUGCUCGAACGGUCCGAGGACAACGGUUCCGUCCACGCUACAGGGACAACCUCGCCCUCGCCGGCGGCAACGUUCAAUAAGCCAGGUCCACUCUACAGAGACAAGCCCUCAACAGAGAUGCCAGUAGUCCACAGGGCCAUACAAAAGGAUUACAGCGAAGCAGACAUGUAAGCGCCCCAUCACACUUUACUUAUUAGCACACUUAGCGAGAAAUAAGAACUGGAUGGUUUAAGAACUAGUGAAAGACAUAAGCGGAAACGGAAGAGACCGAACACAAAGUGUAACCAGUUAGCCCGGCGUAUGCAGAUUUGAUGUUGACUUGUAUAUUGUGUGGUAAUGUUAUGUGUUUUGUGUGACUGUCUGUAUUGAUAUCUUGUGCGCCAAGAGCGGUGGCAAUGUGAUGCACAAGCAAAUUAGUGCCUGGGAGCCCGGCCGUACUACAGGCGAACAAUGCAGUGUGGCGAGCGAGUACCGAGGACAAGGUAGGCGAAUUUGCAGGCUCACUGUCGGCGUCGGUGUGGUGCCCUGGGCCAUGGCCACUUGAAUGGCGUACAUGAAGUGUACGCAGAGCCGUCACAUCUGCGCCACGCAUUGGCGGCAUCACGAAUACGGCUUUCGGCGAGCGACAUCUUCACGUCAUCCGGCCAGGCAUGGGAAGUCCGUGACCUGAGGAGUUGGGAUGAUAGGCGUGACGGCGACAGAGGUCGGGGAACCGUGGGCGCCGUGUCUGAGCGGUGCGGCAAGCCGCUCCGCAACAGUGUCUCCGAGGGCGGGUCGUCUACCGAAGGAAACUGCCGAACCCUUUCGGUGGGUGGAACUCAGUUGUCCGGGGGCACAAGGUGGCACGACGAAUCGACUGGCAGCCUUCAAAAUUCCGGAGAACUUGUGACCCUUGCCGUGGAGACCGGUUUUAUGGAGCUUGGGACACAUCCUGCUUGGACGAAAGAGGAAAGCGACGCGGUUGACGUCAGCAGCGGUCCUUCCUCGUCCUGCCGACGAUGGGACGCCCAAAGGGAUUUAAGGCAAAGCCGGCCCAUUGUUAGAGAGAGAGUCGUCUCCAGCCGCCCAGUCGGUCUGGUGCGCUCUUCGGCUCCGUUAAUUUAUGCUACUACCUGAUAUUACCUGCUAUAUUGCACAUGCUGUAUAAAGCUUUUAAUCUCCUCUU